UUAAUUCUGCGGGGUUCGUUACCGAGUUAACACAAUUGAGCCUACGCCGUUAAGAAAGGGAGACCGACGCCGCUCUGAAAGGCCGGUGCAUUCCUUCAAAGUUAAGGAAUUGCCAGUGGCUGCGGCUUACAUAGGUCACCCACCUGUUCACGCAGGUUCAAUUACGGCUGCGGGACGGCCAACGCGGAUUUCCC
This 194-nucleotide non-coding RNA is filed under the name Pyrinomonadaceae bacterium. RNAcentral describes it as "6S RNA". It matches the Rfam family "6S / SsrS RNA". Rfam says of the family: E. coli 6S RNA was the first non coding RNA to be sequenced, but its function was unknown until recently. It consists of 184 nucleotides that fold into an extended hairpin structure with a large single-stranded internal bulge. The 6S RNA specifically associates with RNA polymerase holoenzyme containing the sigma70 specificity factor. The record is from RNAcentral. Lineage: Bacteria; Pseudomonadati; Acidobacteriota; Blastocatellia; Blastocatellales; Pyrinomonadaceae.